GAUGAAGAACGUAGCGAAAUGCGAUAAGUAAUGCGAAUUGCAGAAUCCGUGAAUCAUCGAGUCUUUGAACGCACAUUGCGCCCCCUGGUAUUCCGGGGGGCAUGCCUGUCCGAGCGUCAUUGCUGCCCUCAAGCACGGCUUGUGUGUUGGGCCGUCGUCCCCCUCCUAGGGGACGGGCCCGAAAGGCAGCGGCGGCACCGCGUCCGGUCCUCGAGCGUAUGGGGCUUCGUCACCCGCUCCGUAGGCCCGGCCGGCGCUUGCCGACGACCAUCAAUCUCUUUCUCCAGGUUGACCUCGGAUCAGGUAGGGAUACCCGCUGAACUUAAGCAUAUCAAUAAGCGGAGGA
RNAcentral lists this unclassified non-coding RNA (346 nucleotides) under soil metagenome. RNAcentral's name for it is "partial contains 5.8S ribosomal RNA, internal transcribed spacer 2, and large subunit ribosomal RNA". The stretch from base 1 to 119 matches the Rfam family "5.8S ribosomal RNA", at positions 35 to 154 of the family's 154-position model. The record is from RNAcentral.